RNAcentral lists this ribosomal RNA (439 nucleotides) under uncultured bacterium. Its description in RNAcentral is "bacterial SSU rRNA". It matches the Rfam family "Bacterial small subunit ribosomal RNA", at positions 29 to 507 of the family's 1533-position model. The record is from RNAcentral.
AGCGAACGCUGGCGGCAUGCUUAACACAUGCAAGUCGCACGGGCAGUAGCAAUACUGUCAGUGGCGACGGGUGAGUAACGCGUAGGAAUCUAUCCUUGAAUGGGGGACAACCGUGGGAAACUACGGCUAAUACCGCAUGAUGCCUGAGGGCCAAAGACGAAAGUCGUUUGAGGAGGAGCCUGCGUCUGAUUAGGUAGUUGGUGGGGUAAAGGCCUACCAAGCCCUACGAUCAGUAGCUGGUCUGAGAGGAUGAUCAGCCACAUUGGGACUGAGACACGGCCCAAACUCCUACGGGAGGCAGCAGUGGGGAAUAUUGGACAAUGGGCGCAAGCCUGAUCCAGCAAUGCCGCGUGGGUGAAGAAGGUCUUCGGAUUGUAAAGCCCUUUUGGCGGGGACGAUGAUGACGGUACCCGCAGAAUAAGCUCCGGCUAACUUCGUG